GACGAACGCUGGCGGCGUGCUUAACACAUGCAAGUCGAACGGAAAGGCCCUGCUUUUGUGGGGUGCUCGAGUGGCGAACGGGUGAGUAACACGUGAGUAACCUGCCCUUGACUUUGGGAUAACUUCAGGAAACUGGGGCUAAUACCGGAUAGGAGCUCCUGCUGCAUGGUGGGGGUUGGAAAGUUUCGGCGGUUGGGGAUGGACUCGCGGCUUAUCAGCUUGUUGGUGGGGUAGUGGCUUACCAAGGCUUUGACGGGUAGCCGGCCUGAGAGGGUGACCGGCCACAGUGGGACUGAGAUACGGCCCAGACUCCUACGGGAGGCAGCAGUGGGGAAUAUUGCACAAUGGGAGGAAGCCUGAUGCAGCAACGCCGCGUGCGGGAUGACGGCCUUCGGGUUGUAAACCGCUUUCGCCUGUGACGAAGCGUGAGUGACGGUAAUGGGUAAAGAAGCACCGGCUAACUACGUG
This 468-nucleotide ribosomal RNA is filed under the name uncultured bacterium. Its description in RNAcentral is "partial 16S ribosomal RNA". It matches the Rfam family "Bacterial small subunit ribosomal RNA", at positions 28 to 507 of the family's 1533-position model. The record is from RNAcentral.